CUUCCCGCGGCCUGGCGGUUGCCGUGGAGACGGCGCCGCUCCGGCGCGGUGCUCGAUCCCGCUCACAAGCGUUCCGCCACCCGCGAGGGCCCCCGGACGCGGCCGUCCCCCUUUUCUUUGGCUUUUACCUAUAAAAUCCCUUAGUUCAACACCAGCCUUCUCCCCCCUCCCCUCUCUUCCUGUCUUUGCGCCAGGAAAGGCUUGCCAAGGGAGAGCCAACAGGCAGGGGCGGGGGCUGCCAUUGCUGCCUCUGCCAAAGCCACCUCAGUAACGAUGCUACGCUGCUUGGGAAUUGCAGAGCCGUGCUUUUGAACUCUUCCCAGUCGAAAUUAAAGGAGAGCAUAUUCUUACUUAAGGAAAAUAUUUCUUAAAGUCUAGUAAAGCAAGGGACACCUUGCAAAGUUUGGGCAAUUUCCUGGCCUUUGCGGGAAAAGCAGUGAGAGUUUAAGGUUGCUGCACAUCUCAUGCUAUAUCCUUCAGCAGCUCACCGCCUCCCAAACCCGCCCUUGCUUUACUGCAGAUUUCCAAAAAAUGGCGUUUUCCCAUUAACCUACUGCUCAGGCUGAACAGCAGCCCCAUUUCUAAGGAAAAAAAGAAAAAGCAGAAUAGAGAGAAACACGGACCCGCCAUCACCAGACGAGGAGCCUUGAGGGCGUGGUGACGACUCCAACCCUCAGCACCCUUCGCCUGUUCCCCCGCCACCUCUAGGAGUGGUUCUGUUGGUUUCUAAUAAAAAAAAAAUUAAUCACA
Long non-coding RNA from Pseudopipra pipra, 750 nucleotides. RefSeq lists it as uncharacterized. The transcript is spliced from 2 exons. The record is from RefSeq and is a predicted model, not a curated record. NCBI's taxonomy places the organism in Eukaryota, Metazoa, Chordata, Aves, Passeriformes, Pipridae.